CUUCAUUUCAAAGAAAAAUGUGGGAAAAAAACACAGGUACAUCUCCCUCGGCUGUGAUAUUUCAUAUUUUAGCCAGUUUUAUUGGUUACUUUUUCAGAGCUCAAAAAAAUCCUUACCAAUAAAAUGCUAGAACCUUAUGGAGAUCAGCCAAUGAAAUGAAGCCACUAGUUAUCACGUCAAUCACUUUUCACAAUCACAGUCUGGAGCUAGAUGCCCUCAAGACUCGAAAGCCAAAGGAAAAGAUGCUAAUUUCCUCUUGAAAUUUAACUAUGAGCAGUCAUGAAGAAUGCAACCAAAGUCGUAUACCAAAGUUGAAACAUAAAA
Long non-coding RNA from Xenia sp. Carnegie-2017, 324 nucleotides. RefSeq lists it as uncharacterized. The record is from RefSeq and is a predicted model, not a curated record. NCBI's taxonomy places the organism in Eukaryota, Metazoa, Cnidaria, Anthozoa, Malacalcyonacea, Xeniidae. The transcript is spliced from 2 exons.